RNAcentral lists this long non-coding RNA (281 nucleotides) under Homo sapiens (human). RNAcentral describes it as "HSALNT0361176". The record is from RNAcentral. Lineage: Eukaryota; Metazoa; Chordata; Mammalia; Primates; Hominidae.
CACCAGAUCAGCCACAUUCUCUAGGGUCAGGUAUUUUCCUGCAGGGAUUCAGAAGAGGCACUUGCCCUCAUUCAUUGCUUUCCCAAACUCCCCCUUUUGGACCUCAACUAUGAGACAUCAGGACUUCCCAAAGCCUGGAACAGGGUAAAGGAGGGCUAUGUGUGCAGGUGUAGGGUGUACUUGGGAAGCAGAGGAAGAAAAGGCUGGAGAGACUUGAAAUGCCAUGGCCAAUAAUAUGGAUUUACCCUAAAGGCCAGUAAGUUGCAAAUGUCGCACCACAG